UACAGAGGGUGCGAGCGUUGUUCGGAAUUACUGGGCGUAAAGCGCGCGCAGGCGGCCUUUUAAGUCUGACGGUGAAAUGCCGGGGCUCAACCCCGUGCCCGCCGCGGAUACUGGGAGGCUGGAGACACGUAGAGGCAAGCGGAAUUCCGGGUGUAGCGGUGGAAUGCGUAGAGAUCCGGAAGAACACCGGAGGCGAAGGCGGCUUGCUGGGCGUAGUCUGACGCUGAGGCGCGAAAGCGUGGGGAGCGAACAGG
RNAcentral lists this ribosomal RNA (254 nucleotides) under uncultured bacterium. Its description in RNAcentral is "partial 16S ribosomal RNA". It matches the Rfam family "Bacterial small subunit ribosomal RNA", at positions 524 to 776 of the family's 1533-position model. The record is from RNAcentral.